This is an RNA transcript of Dryobates pubescens (Downy woodpecker), 4118 nucleotides long. It is a transcript of the gene named eukaryotic translation initiation factor 2B subunit gamma, with no coding region annotated. Lineage: Eukaryota; Metazoa; Chordata; Aves; Piciformes; Picidae. The transcript is spliced from 12 exons. The record is from RefSeq and is a predicted model, not a curated record.
AUGGAGUUCCAGGCCGUGGUGAUGGCGGCAGGAGGCGGUUCCCGUAUGAUGGACCUGACUUCCAGCAUUCCGAAGCCGCUGCUCCCGGUGGGCAACCGGCCCCUUCUCUGGUACCCGCUGAAUCUCCUGGAGCGUGCCGGCUUCGAAGAGGUCAUUGUGAUUACAAGGAAGGAAAUCCAAAAGAUGUUAAACUUGGACACGAAAAUGAAGCUGGACUUUGUGUGCAUCAGUGACAACAUGGACAUGGGUACAGCAGAUUCCCUGAGACACAUUCACCAGAAAAUUAAGACUGAUGUCUUGGUGCUGAGCUGCGAUCUGAUCACAGAUGUUGAUUUAUAUCAAGUUGUGGAUCUCUUCCGGACGCAUGAUGCUACUCUCUCAAUGCUGAUGAAGAAAACCCAUGAACCCACAGAAGCAGUGCCAGGACAGAAAGGGAAAAAAAAGCCAGUGGAGCAGCGCGACUUCAUUGGAGUGGAUGACACAGGGAAAAGAUUGCUCUUCAUGGCUAAUGAAGCUGACUUGGAUGAAGAACUUGUCAUUAAAAGAUCCAUCCUUCAGAAACACCCUAGAAUGCACAUCAGAACAGGCCUGAUGGAUGCCCACCUCUACUGUCUGAAGAAAUAUGUGGUAGACUUCCUUGUAGAAAACAGGACAAUCACGUCUCUCCGGAGUGAACUGAUUCCACAUCUGGUUAGGAGACAGUUCUCUUCUCCCGCAUCCUUGCAGCCAGGACUAGACAACAAAGAAGAGGACCAAAAGAAGAAAGAACAAGCCUCUCAAGACAUUUAUAGUUUCAUAAAGGAAGAUAAUAGCUUGCUGAAACCUGCUCCAGAUAACUCUUGUUGGAAUGAUCAUAGAGGAGAUAUGAAUGAAACUCUCCAUGAAGGAAAAGUGCGCUGCUACGUCCAUAUCAUGAAAGAGGGACUCUGCUACCGAGUGAAUACUCUGGGCUUGUACAUUGAAGCUAACCGACAGGUUCCCAAGCUGUUGCUUAAUCUGGGUCUGGAAGAGCCACUGGUUCAUGCAUCUGCACAGAUCACUGACAGAAGCAUGGUGGGAUCAGACAGCAUCAUUGGGUCAUCCACAGAAGUUGGGGAGAAGACAUCCAUUAAACACUCCAUCAUCGGCAGCAUGUGCACCAUCAAAGACAAAGUUAAGAUAAUAAACUGCAUCAUCAUGAACUCUGUUACAAUUGAGGAAGGGUGCUGUCUUCAGGGCAGUGUUAUUUGUCAUAAUGCCGUGAUAGAGAAGGGUGCAGACAUCAAAGACUGUUUGAUUGGAAGUGAUCAGAGACUAGAAGCCAAAGCCAAACAUGUUAAUGAAGUCAUUGUGGGCACCGAACAGCUGAUGGAGAUAUAACCCAAGUAGGUUUUAAAGAUGAUUUUAUGGAAGCCAGCAGCAGAACCAGAUGUUCAAGCAUCGUAAGAUCAUCCAUACAGAUCAGUACUGGCAGGGUUUACCCUGUCAUUGCUCCUUUCCUGUUCAGCUUUAUAUUUAUGUCUUAAUAAAGAAGUAUUUACAGAGCAGCGCGUCCGUCAGCCCCUCCCCCCUCAUUGGGAUGCGCGCGGGUUUGUGCCGGGUAGUAUCGGUCCCUGCACGCCCGGCGGACGCACUGUACUUUUCCAGCAGAAGGGAGAGCGGGGACCACACAGAUUGUGCCCACUCCAAAGAAUGACUUAGCCGCCCUCCCUGCAGUGUAAACCACGGCCCCGCGGUCCUGCGCCACCGUCCCCGAGCCUGGGAGAAACCGCUCGGGAUGUUGCUUGUGCAUCUCAUCAACGCAGCGGGCGGGCAGCGAGACACAGCCGUAAUGCGGGCUGCUCUCUGCAGCCCAGCUGCUUCGCCAGCCUCCUCCUCCUCCUCUCUCUCUCUUGUGAUGUUGCCCUAUAGCACAGAAGUGUUUAAGCUGCGCCUCUUCUGUUCUGUAAUGCAGCUGAGGAGUUUGGCACUCAUUUCCAUCAGGGCUGAGUUUGGUCCGUUACUUUGAAAUCCUGCCCAGGAGGGGGCUGGAGGGCUGGUAGAGUGCAGAGGGGAAGCGGGGUGUAAGCAGUGGGUACCCUGCCUUAUUUUGAUGGGUCUUUCACUCGAUCACCCAGACGAUCUGUGGAUGACUGUGCCUGCAUCUGUGAGAUGAGUCGAGCACACUGAUGUGAAAGGCACAGCUUGUGGUCAGGGGUUGUGCCAGGAUUGUGAAGCACCUGGAUGGGAUUGAAACUCCAGCUGUUCUUUAACAAUUAUAAAUUGGACACAAGUUCCUACCUAAAAGUUGUUUAUUAGAGUCUAGUAGGAUUCAACAGGACAUUUAUCUGCUCCUGGCAGUUUGACAUCCAGAGGUGCUUACAGCAGCUGGCUGGGAUGGUAUUUCAUUAACCAAAGUGAUGUAUUUAAAAUGUGAGUUUCAUGGGCACCAGUGUCCCCUGAGGAAAAUUAACAUUUCCUAGCUAAUUUGACAGGAGAGGGAUUAUAAUCCAGACAUUCCCCAGGUUUUAUAAGAGCAAAACUGCUCCUCUAAAGGGCCAGAUUGGAAUGGAAAGUAUGGGUAAGGAUGAGCUUCAAGGCCUUUGACAAGCUGCAGAAGGAAGAAAUGUGCUGCACUUAAGCUCCAGCUUUGUGCUAGAAGUUUUGCUUUGCCUGUGUGUGCAAACACGUUCCUAAGGUAGGAAGCCUUUUUCAUCCAAGGGUGGCAGAGGCUUUGCAAAGGUUAAUUAAAGAGUACUCCUGACUCUGUGUGCGGCAAGGGAGCGAGGCAUCCAUCUUGGGUGUGUGGAAACAGAAGCAGAGUGGAGCAUAAUUACCUGGCUUUGCAUUUUACCAGAAAGCUGUGGCAAAGCUGAGAGGUCCACAGGGACUUUGACUCACAGUCCUUUUGCUUAAACACAAAGCCUCCUCCCUCUCUGUUUUUUUUAGGAUAGGUCUUCUGCAAAAGUCCACAUGCCCUUACUUAACAGCUACAGCUGUACCUCCUUGUGCCUUAAUUAUAUGUUAAAGUCUCAGUCCUUUUGUUUAGCUAAUUUAAGAAGAGGGUGGGGGGCUCUUUACUGUGUGGGUUAGAAUUUAGCAUUAAUUUAGUGUUCUCUGACACUUGAAAACCUGGCCGGGAUUUGAGGCGUUUUCUUUUCCUUUUUGCCUUUUACGACCUGCAGGUGUUUGGUGUGAGAUAAAAGUAGAUCCCAAAGUGAGAUUUCACAGCACGAAUUAUCAAAGUGAAGAUUCACUCUUGAUGUAGUCUUCGUGUGUGGCAGUAAUUAUGAAAAAUAAUUCGGGAUAAUAGGGCCUUCAGGAAUCCCAAGGCGAGCAUCGGGAGGUUAACCCUUCCUCAUCUAACCUGGUCUCCGUGCCGCUGUCAUUAUCAGGAAGCAGCAGCUCAUCUGAUCCCUUCUGCAGUGAAGUCAAAGUGGAUGGCUCCCAUCUUCCUGGCAGCCUUGGAGCAGAGCCAUGCAAGGGGGAGGCGAGCAGCCAGCCAUUCCCAGGAACAGUGGUCCUCCCACCCCAGUGGUGUGCAAAGGAACACAAAACCUUUACAGCAGGCUUUGAUCUCGCAUUUGGGACACUUUUUUGGCUUGUGGGUAUGAAGGGGAGAGGGAUGCCAGGCUGAACAGUCAUAUGGCCUCUAGUCUGCAGCCCUAGCAAUAGGACUCUCCUGAACCUCUUGAAGCUGGGCAUCACACGGACUCACCAGGCUUUUAUUUGCUCUGUUCUCCAAGAUUUAUCAUGUUGCCCCUGCUUACUUCCUUUCUGGCUUCUGCACAGCACUUUCCUUCUUCUGGCAGCCUGAAAGAGUGGUUUUCAUCAUGUGCUGCUCAUCCUUUGGACUUUGCUGGUGGAACCUUCUUGUUCUGGGAGACCAGGAUUUUCCUUAUAAAACCCCGAAGGUCUGGGGAACGUCAGUGUUUUCAGGAGGUGUCUUGCUCCCUCCACACUGGCCCAAAUCUGCAGCGAGGGACAGUGGCUGCUCUGGUCCCUAACCUGGUGUCUUGCUAGGGGCAAGGUUAUACAUCAAGUCCCAGGUGGGGCUCACAGAGGAAUUGCCAACGACAGUGUGAUGACCAGACAUGCACAGUGCAUGGCAUAACCCUCUCCCCAGGUACCACUGGCCCUGGAGCACCACAGCGGCCUCC